RNAcentral lists this ribosomal RNA (500 nucleotides) under uncultured bacterium. RNAcentral's name for it is "partial 16S ribosomal RNA". It matches the Rfam family "Bacterial small subunit ribosomal RNA", at positions 30 to 523 of the family's 1533-position model. The record is from RNAcentral.
AUCGAACGCUGGCGGAAUGCUUUACACAUGCAAGUCGAACGGCAGCACGGACUUCGGUCUGGUGGCGAUUGGCGAACGGGUGAGUAAUGUAUCGGAACGUGCCCAGUCGUGGGGGAUAACGUAGUGAAAGCUGUGCUAAUACCGCAUACGAUCUAUGGAUGAAAGCGGGGGAUCGCAAGACCUCGCGCGAUUGGAGCGGCCGAUAUCAGAUUAGGUAGUUGGUGGGGUAAAGGCCCACCAAGCCUGCGAUCUGUAGCUGGUCUGAGAGGACGACCAGCCACACUGGGACUGAGACACGGCCCAGACUCCUACGGGAGGCAGCAGUGGGGAAUUUUGGACAAUGGGCGCAAGCCUGAUCCAGCAAUGCCGCGUGCAGGAUGAAGGCCUUCGGGUUGUAAACUGCUUUUGUACGAGACGAAAAGACUCGCUCUAAUACAGUGGGUACAUGACGGUAUCGUAAGAAUAAGCACCGGCUAACUACGUGCCAGCAGCCGCCGUAA